This is a non-coding RNA of Phascolarctos cinereus (koala), 239 nucleotides long. The record is from RefSeq and is a predicted model, not a curated record. NCBI's taxonomy places the organism in Eukaryota, Metazoa, Chordata, Mammalia, Diprotodontia, Phascolarctidae.
CACUUACCCUCCACGUGGAAGGACUUCAUUUCGUCUAGAGGGAAGCAGAGUUACUGGGGAGAGUUGGUGAGUCUUGUCAGUGAUACCAAAAAAAGAUCUGAUGAAAAGCAGGUCUAUCCUGAAGAUCCUUCUCUUCAGCUCAGAAGUUAAUGAUUAGAGAAAGUAACCCCAGCAACUCCUUCUCUGACACCUAGCAAAGUGCCUUGAUCAAUGAAGAUCCGUCGAAAGGAGAAAUGAAU